Molecule: ribosomal RNA, 500 nt
Filed under: uncultured bacterium
Lineage: Bacteria
Description: bacterial SSU rRNA
Rfam family: Bacterial small subunit ribosomal RNA
Source: RNAcentral
GGGGAAGGGUAGCUUGCUACCUGACCUAGCGGCGGACGGGUGAGUAAUGCUUAGGAAUCUGCCUAUUAGUGGGGGACAACAUUCCGAAAGGAAUGCUAAUACCGCAUACGCCCUACGGGGGAAAGCAGGGGAUCUUCGGACCUUGCGCUAAUAGAUGAGCCUAAGUCAGAUUAGCUAGUUGGUGGGGUAAAGGCCUACCAAGGCGACGAUCUGUAGCGGGUCUGAGAGGAUGAUCCGCCACACUGGGACUGAGACACGGCCCAGACUCCUACGGGAGGCAGCAGUGGGGAAUAUUGGACAAUGGGCGAAAGCCUGAUCCAGCCAUGCCGCGUGUGUGAAGAAGGCCUUUUGGUUGUAAAGCACUUUAAGCGAGGAGGAGGCUACUGAGAUUAAUACUCUUGGAUAGUGGACGUUCUCGCAGAAUAAGCACCGGCUAACUCUGUGCCAGCAGCCGCGGUAAUACAGAGGGUGCGAGCGUUAAUCGGAUUUACUGGGCGUAA